CACCAAGAAAUUAAGUCAUAUAUUUAUGGUAAAAAGACAGUUAGAUAUUUAUUUUUGGGUCAAUUUAAUGCUUUGUAUAGAGGUAAAAUUUAAGUGCAGUUGAUAUAAUCUAUUUAUGACUUGUAAGUUGAAUCUGUGAAAUCCUUAAGGGAAACUGGGAUUAGGUACCCCAUUAUUUCUGGAUAUAAAGUAAAGAAUAUUUACCGGAGUACUAUGAAUAUUAAAAAUUUAAAACUCAAAGAACUUGGCGGUGUUUUAGACCACUCAGGGGAACCUGUCUCAUAAUCGAUAAUCCACGUUGUACCUGACCUUUUUUUGUAUUCAGUUUGUAUACCGUUGUCGUCAGGUAACUUUUUAGAAAUUAGAAGUUAGCAGCAGAAAUAAAAAAUAAUUUAAUACGUCAAAUCAAGGUGCAGCUAAUGAAAAGGGGAGGAUGGGUUACAAUUAUAUAAUUUAUAAUAACGGAUAGGUAUAUGGAGUAUGUAUUAAUUAUAAGGCGGACUUGAAAGUAAAUUAGGUUAUAUAAAUAACUUGAAUGAGGCUCUGAAACGUGU
RNAcentral lists this ribosomal RNA (554 nucleotides) under Punctoterebra succincta. Its description in RNAcentral is "partial 12S ribosomal RNA". Lineage: Eukaryota; Metazoa; Mollusca; Gastropoda; Neogastropoda; Terebridae. The record is from RNAcentral.